Transfer RNA from Camelus ferus (Wild Bactrian camel), 71 nucleotides. It matches the Rfam family "tRNA". Rfam says of the family: Transfer RNA (tRNA) molecules are approximately 80 nucleotides in length. The record is from Rfam. Lineage: Eukaryota; Metazoa; Chordata; Mammalia; Artiodactyla; Camelidae.
GAGGGUAUAGCUAGUGGUAGAGUGCAUGCCUAGCAUGCACGAGGUCCUAGGUUCAAUCCCCAGUACCUCCA